AGAGUGAACGCUGGCGGUAGGCCUAACACAUGCAAGUCGAACGGCAGCACAGUGGUAGCAAUACCAUGGGUGGCGAGUGGCGGACGGGUGAGGAAUACAUCGGAAUCUACCUUUUCGUGGGGGAUAACGUAGGGAAACUUACGCUAAUACCGCAUACGCCCUUUGGGGGAAAGCCGGGAUCGCAAGACCUGGCGCGGAUAGAUGAGCCGAUGUCGGAUUAGCUAGUUGGUGAGGUAAUGGCUCACCAAGGCGACGAUCCGUAGCUGGUCUGAGAGGAUGAUCAGCCACACUGGAACUGAGACACGGUCCAGACUCCUACGGGAGCAGCAGUGGGGAAUAUUGGACAA
This 347-nucleotide ribosomal RNA is filed under the name uncultured soil bacterium. Its description in RNAcentral is "bacterial SSU rRNA". It matches the Rfam family "Bacterial small subunit ribosomal RNA", at positions 26 to 371 of the family's 1533-position model. The record is from RNAcentral.